This is a long non-coding RNA of Anguilla rostrata (American eel), 1654 nucleotides long. RefSeq lists it as uncharacterized. The record is from RefSeq and is a predicted model, not a curated record. Lineage: Eukaryota; Metazoa; Chordata; Actinopteri; Anguilliformes; Anguillidae. The transcript is spliced from 4 exons.
AACCUCUCCUUACGAACCUAGCUUUAACCUGAAAAUAUUUACCUACUGCUAAGUGACCCUUUAGGUGGGUUACAGUCAUCAUAUACGUGACUAUCCUGAACUGAUACUUUGCUUUGGGCCUCUUAUUCGCUCUUGGACCCUUAGGUUUGAGAGUAAACACACUUUUUAAACAGUGUGCUCGCAAAUUACACAACUUCAAGAAUUUGUGAUCUGUUGAUUAUUUAGGCCUCCAGCUACGUAGCUCUGUGGCUGUACACAAUGUCACCGUUAAAGGCACAAGCUACAAAAAAAGCCACGUGUGUUGUCUUUGAGAAGAAUGAUGAGGGACUAGUCUUUGGCAAGAUAGAACUGAUUCUUGUUUGCAACAGUUGUGUUUACUUUGUCACAGAGAAAUGCCAGUCUGAUUUCCUUUUGAUCAGGGGAUUUACUGCCUAAAGAUGGGCUCAGAGAACCCCAUUUCAAAUUAUUUCUGCCUCGAACAUGCAAGCCUGCUUGACUAUUACCCUUUGCCUGUGUACAACAUGUUUGGUCUGUCUCUAAUAGCCCUUCGCCACUCCUUUCCUUCAGAAUGUCUGAUAUAAGUGAGAGCAUCAAGGACGCAGUCAUUUCUGUCCUGCCAAGUGUGCCAGAAGAAACGAUCUUACACCAGGGAGUGGAAAGCAAAGAUGACUUGCAGUACAUAAGAGAACAGGAAAUUGCAGAGGUUAUUCGACCAAUUCAGUGCAGAAAACUUUUAAAUGCAUGGAAAUGAGCAGGUUUCUGCCUCUGCUGCUGACGUUGAGAGGUCCUUAACUUUGCCUGACAGUCCUCGAUUGAUUGUUCUCGAACUCGCCUCCGCAGGCGAGGACCCCGUGGCGACGGAACCUCUCCAAACUUCGCUAUCCCUCACUGACCCCCCUGUGACGACUUCACGGUCGCAGGAGGGCUAUGGAACUGCCAGUCUGCUACGCGGAAGGCUGACUUCAUUUCAGCCUACGCGUCCCUCUUCUCCCUACAUUUCCUUGCCCUCACUGAGACCUGGAUCACACCAGGCAACACUGCAACCCCUGCAGCCCUCUCCUCCUCCUUCUCCUUUCUCACGCCCUCCGCCCGUCUGGCCGUGGUGGGGGCACAGGGCCCCUGGGAAGCUUCCUCGAUGAGCUCAACACCCUGCUCAGCUCCUUCCCAGAGAAUGGUGUAGAGGGGAGUCAAACUGGGACCCAGAAAAGGCUGGCAUUUGAACGGGCCUGCAGGCUGGGACUCAUCCUGUACUUCAAAGAACCCAGAGCCGUGUGAUAAAACAAUAAGUUACUUGGACUUCCUCGGGAUAAGCAGGCCAUUUGGCUCUCUGGAAUGUUGCCAUCUGGACACAUCUAAGAUAAGGGGAACUAGUCUCUUUGUCUAUGGUUGUGGGGGUAUGUGUGUUCGGGCCAUUAAGGGUAAAAAGAUCAUCAGGCCUCUGGACAAAUGGUGGGGCAACUACGCUUGACAGUUCCACAGUGCCGUUAUGUGGGCCCCUCUAUCAUUACACUUUUUAUUUAUUUUCUGGAUCUGGACUCUAAACCAUCUGUUUAUCAUAUUUACAAACCCCGGAAAACCUUACAAACCAUGCACGUGUUUUCAUUAUAUUACUGUAUUAUGCCUUAUGUAAUAAUAACAUGGAUUGCAUGUAAAA